CAGCGGCGGACGGGUGAGUAAUACCUAGGAAUCUGCCUGGUAGUGGGGGACAACGUUUCGAAAGGAACGCUAAUACCGCAUACGUCCUACGGGAAAAGCAGGGGACCUUCGGGCCUUGCGCUAUCAGAUGAGCCUAGGUCGGAUUAGCUAGUUGGUGAGGUAAUGGCUCACCAAGGCUACGAUCCGUAACUGGUCUGAGAGGAUGAUCAGUCACACUGGAACUGAGACACGGUCCAGACUCCUACGGGAGGCAGCAGUGGGGAAUAUUGGACAAUGGGCGAAAGCCUGAUCCAGCCAUGCCGCGUGUGUGAAGAAGGUCUUCGGAUUGUAAAGCACUUUAAGUUGGGAGGAAGGGCAGUAAGCGAAUACCUUGCUGUUUUGACGUUACCGACAGAAUAAGCACCGGCUAACUCUGUGCCAGCAGCCGCGGUAAUA
This 435-nucleotide ribosomal RNA is filed under the name Pseudomonas putida. Its description in RNAcentral is "bacterial SSU rRNA". It matches the Rfam family "Bacterial small subunit ribosomal RNA", at positions 93 to 525 of the family's 1533-position model. The record is from RNAcentral. Lineage: Bacteria; Pseudomonadati; Pseudomonadota; Gammaproteobacteria; Pseudomonadales; Pseudomonadaceae.